AUACGUAGGUGACAAGCGUUAUCCGGAUUUACUGGGCGUAAAGGGCGUGUAGGUGGUCUUGCAAGUCAGAAGUGAAAUUCCUGAGCUCAACUCGGGCGCUGCUUCUGAAACUGCAGGACUUGAGUGCUGGAGGGGAUAGCGGAAUUCCUAGUGGAGCGGUAAAAUGCGCAGAUAUUAGGAAGAACACCGGUGGCGAAGGCGACUUACUGGACUGUAACUGACGCUGAGGCGCGAAAGUGUGGGGAGCAAACAGGAUUAGAUACCCUGGUAGUCCACACUGUAAACGAUGAAUGCUAGGUGUAGGGGGUAUCGACCCCUUCUGUGCCGCAGUCAACACAAUAAGCAUUCCGCCUGGGGAGUACGGCCGCAAGGUUGAAACUCAAAGGAAUUGACGGGG
This 397-nucleotide ribosomal RNA is filed under the name uncultured bacterium. RNAcentral describes it as "partial 16S ribosomal RNA". It matches the Rfam family "Bacterial small subunit ribosomal RNA", at positions 523 to 918 of the family's 1533-position model. The record is from RNAcentral.